Rattus norvegicus (Norway rat) is the source of this 63-nucleotide non-coding RNA. The record is from Rfam. Lineage: Eukaryota; Metazoa; Chordata; Mammalia; Rodentia; Muridae.
GGGGAUUUAGCUAAGUGGUAGAGCGCUUGCCUAGCAAGUGCAAGGCCCUGGGUUCAGUCCCCA